RNAcentral lists this unclassified non-coding RNA (202 nucleotides) under Hevea brasiliensis (rubber tree). The record is from RNAcentral. Lineage: Eukaryota; Viridiplantae; Streptophyta; Magnoliopsida; Malpighiales; Euphorbiaceae.
UGGAAGAACAUUCUCAAAGAUCCUGAUUUCGCUCCGUCUCUCACUCAUCGCUCUAACAUUGACCUCAAGGACAAAUGGCGUAAUUUGAGUGUCAGUACUGCUUCACAAGGCUCAAAAGAGAAGUCUAGGAUUCCUAAAGCAAAAGCUAUCGUUGCUGCUAUUUCUAACAACCAAAGCUCUGCUCCUGCUAAGCUUAUUGCAG